GCCCGGGUGGCGAAACUGGCAGACGCACGGGACUUAAAAUCCCGGGCUCCGAAAGGAGCGUACCGGUUCAAUUCCGGUCCCGGGCACCA
This 89-nucleotide transfer RNA is filed under the name Acidobacteria bacterium 13_1_20CM_4_56_7. RNAcentral describes it as "tRNA-Leu". It matches the Rfam family "tRNA". From Rfam's summary of the family: Transfer RNA (tRNA) molecules are approximately 80 nucleotides in length. Their secondary structure includes four short double-helical elements and three loops (D, anti-codon, and T loops). Further hydrogen bonds mediate the characteristic L-shaped molecular structure. tRNAs have two regions of fundamental functional importance: the anti-codon, which is responsible for specific mRNA codon recognition, and the 3' end, to which the tRNAs corresponding amino acid is attached (by aminoacyl-tRNA synthetases). tRNAs cope with the degeneracy of the genetic code in two manners: having more than one tRNA (with a specific anti-codon) for a particular amino acid; and 'wobble' base-pairing, i.e. permitting non-standard base-pairing at the 3rd anti-codon position. Lineage: Bacteria; Pseudomonadati; Acidobacteriota. The record is from RNAcentral. RNAcentral also lists the same sequence under 2 other names.